AUCUCUAUUGUCUCACUCAAGUCUUGAUUUUUCUACUGAAAAUCCACAAGAGAGGAAAAACCCUCGACUGAACCCUCGACCUCGACGGCUCGAUUCUUCUCCAGCAGCAAGAGAAGAAACUUUCUCAUCUGCUACUACUUCGAUCCUUCUCCAACACAAGUUAAGUUCUUCGUCGUCGUCUUCUUCUCUGCUUCUCUUUCUCCUUCUUCUUCGUCUUCUUCGUCUUCUUCUCUGCUUCUCUUUCUCCUUCUUCUUCUUCAGUUCGUCGUCUUCUUCUUCUCUGCGACAUGACUGAUCACUGACGAAAACAACUCCUUCUCGGCUUCUCCUUCUUCUCUUCUUCUUCUUCUUCUGUUUCUGCUGCUCUUUCUUCUUCUCUUUCUUCUCUGUUUCAGCGGGGCAGUAGUUGUAAUAAUUCUAUUUUUUAGUUGCAGUACCUAGUUGGAUGAUAUGCGAUUCUGUGUUCGGUUUCACAGGUUGAAAAUUUUCCAGUGGUGUAAGGCAUUGUUACUUUUUGGUCAAUUGUCAUCACUCUGUUAAAUGAUCACAGAUUAUGUGCUACUGGAAGUAUUCCCAACCAAAGAAAAUGAAAGGAUUGUAGUUAAAAACACAUCUCUUGGUCCUCAGGACAUUUGUGUGUGCAUGUAGGAAUUCCCUGAAAGAUAUCAAUUUGCUAGUAGCAUUCAACAAAGGCAUAGACAGAUCGAGAAAGCGGUUCCACUUUUGCAUUUGCACUUGGGAGGAAACUCAAGGAAGUUCUGAAGCAAAAGAAAUCAUAGCGAGUAUUUUCAUUAAACCUGCUUAUUUUAGUUGCAGCUUGGCACUGGGCAAAUUAUCUUGCUGGCUUUUGUAGAUCUUAUGUAUCUGUAAAUUAAUAUGAUUUGUGUAGUUGAUGUGAUUCUAUUCAGCCUUUUGUGUCAUAAUUGAAUGUUUACUAUCCA
Long non-coding RNA from Macadamia integrifolia, 941 nucleotides. RefSeq lists it as uncharacterized. Lineage: Eukaryota; Viridiplantae; Streptophyta; Magnoliopsida; Proteales; Proteaceae. The transcript has 2 exons. The record is from RefSeq and is a predicted model, not a curated record.